GAUGAACGCUGGCGGCGUGCCUAAUACAUGCAAGUCGAGCGAACAGACGAGGAGCUUGCUCCUCUGACGUUAGCGGCGGACGGGUGAGUAACACGUGGAUAACCUACCUAUAAGACUGGGAUAACUUCGGGAAACCGGAGCUAAUACCGGAUAAUAUAUUGAACCGCAUGGUUCAAUAGUGAAAGACGGUUUUGCUGUCACUUAUAGAUGGAUCAGCGCCGCAUUAGUUAGUUGGUAAGGUAACGGCUUACCAAGGCAACGAUGCGUAGCCGACCUGAGAGGGUGAUCGGACACCCGGGAAGUGAGAAACGGCCCAGACUCCGACGGGAGGCCGCAGUAGGGAAUCUUCCGCGAUGGGCGAAAGCUUGACGGAGCAAAGCCGCGUGAGUGAUGAAGGUGUUCGGAUCGUAAAACUCUGUUAUUAGGGAAGAACAAAUGUGUAAGUACCUAUGCACGUCUUGACGGUACCUAAUCAGAAAGCCACGGCUAACUACGUG
RNAcentral lists this ribosomal RNA (497 nucleotides) under uncultured bacterium. RNAcentral's name for it is "partial 16S ribosomal RNA". It matches the Rfam family "Bacterial small subunit ribosomal RNA", at positions 28 to 507 of the family's 1533-position model. The record is from RNAcentral.